ACACGUAGGGGGCGAGCGUUAUCCGGAAUUACUGGGCGUAAAGAGUGCGUAGGUGGCUUUGCAAGCGUAGGGUAUAAGGCGACAGCCCAACUGUCGUUGGCCCCGCGAACUGUAAGGCUUGAGUACAGGAGGGGAAGGCGGAAUUCCUAGUGUAGCGGUGAAAUGCGUAGAUAUUAGGAGGAACACCAGUGGCGAAGGCGGCCUUCUGGACGGUAACUGACACUGAGGCACGAAAGCGUGGGUAGCAAACAGGAUUAGAUACCCUGGUAGUCCACGCCGUAAACGAUGAGCACUAGGUGUCGGGCUCGCAAGAGUUCGGUGCCGGAGCAAACGCAUUAAGUGCUCCGCCUGGGGAGUACGCACGCAAGUGUGAAACUCAAAGGAAUUGACGGGG
This 394-nucleotide ribosomal RNA is filed under the name uncultured bacterium. RNAcentral describes it as "partial 16S ribosomal RNA". It matches the Rfam family "Bacterial small subunit ribosomal RNA", at positions 523 to 918 of the family's 1533-position model. The record is from RNAcentral.